UCUAUUGUAUGGUUUCACUAAAAAAACAUAGUUUUAAAUACACGUAAAAUCUAAAAUCUAAUAAAACUCAAUCAACCAGAUAUAUAUUUUAGAACAAUCAUAAGAAAAGAAAAUGAAUUAUUAAAGCGACGAGUCAGCUGGGGGAAAAUUUGACUCUAUGUAUAGUGACGGAGCUCUGCUGUUCACGGAUAUUAAAAAGAAUAUAAUAUAACGUGACGGGAUCGUCGGCGGCAGUGGCACUGUCGAUAAUCAUAUUGUUUUCCAUGGAUAAUCUGACAAAUCACACCUGGUGACGGUUAUCAUCGUAUAGGUACACUGAUAUUGUCACGACGAGCUAUU
Molecule: non-coding RNA, 339 nt
Organism: Cinara cedri
Lineage: Eukaryota; Metazoa; Arthropoda; Insecta; Hemiptera; Aphididae
Source: the annotation of a GenBank genome assembly